Molecule: ribosomal RNA, 436 nt
Filed under: uncultured soil bacterium
Lineage: Bacteria
Description: bacterial SSU rRNA
Rfam family: Bacterial small subunit ribosomal RNA
Source: RNAcentral
AGAGUGAACGCUGGCGGUAGGCCUAACACAUGCAAGUCGAACGGCAGCACAGUGGUAGCAAUACCAUGGGUGGCGAGUGGCGGACGGGUGAGGAAUACAUCGGAAUCUACCUUUUCGUGGGGGAUAACGUAGGGAAACUUACGCUAAUACCGCAUACGCCCUUCGGGGGAAAGCCGGGGAUCGCAAGACCUGGCGCGGAUAGAUGAGCCGAUGUCGGAUUAGCUAGUUGGUGAGGUAAUGGCUCACCAAGGCGACGAUCCGUAGCUGGUCUGAGAGGAUGAUCAGCCACACUGGAACUGAGACACGGUCCAGACUCCUAGGGAGGCAGCAGUGGGGAAUAUUGGACAAGUGGGCGCAAGCCUGAAUCCAGCCAUACCGCGUGGGUGAAGAAGGCCUUCGGUUGUAAAGUCCCUUUUAGGUUACGGGAAAGUAAAAG